RNAcentral lists this ribosomal RNA (495 nucleotides) under uncultured bacterium. Its description in RNAcentral is "partial 16S ribosomal RNA". It matches the Rfam family "Bacterial small subunit ribosomal RNA", at positions 28 to 507 of the family's 1533-position model. The record is from RNAcentral.
GACGAACGCUGGCGGCGUGCCUAAUACAUGCAAGUAGGACGCUGAAGGAGGAGCUUGCUUCUCUGGAUGAGUUGCGAACGGGUGAGUAACGCGUAGGUAACCUGCCUGGUAGCGGGGGAUAACUAUUGGAAACGAUAGCUAAUACCGCAUAAUAGUAGAUGUUGCAUGACAUUUGCUUAAAAGGUGCAAUUGCAUCACUACCAGAUGGACCUGCGUUGUAUUAGCUAGUUGGUGGGGUAACGGCUCACCAAGGCGACGAUACAUAGCCGACCUGAGAGGGGGAUCGGCCACACUGGGACUGAGACACGGCCCAGACUCCUACGGGAGGCAGCAGCAGGGAAUCUUCGGCAAUGGACGGAAGUCUGACCGAGCAACGCCGCGUGAGUGAAGAAGGUUUUCGGAUCGUAAAGCUCUGUUGUAAGAGAAGAACGAGUGUGAGAGUGGAAAGUUCACACUGUGACGGUAUCUUACCAGAAAGGGACGGCUAACUACGUG